UGAGGAAUAUUGGUCAAUGGACGAAAGUCUGAACCAGCCAAGUAGCGUGCAGGAUGACGGCCCUCUGGGUUGUAAACUGCUUUUGUAUGGGGAUAAAGUUAGGGACGUGUCCCUAUUUGCAGGUACCAUACGAAUAAGGACCGGCUAAUUCCGUGCCAGCAGCCGCGGUAAUACGGAAGGUCCAGGCGUUAUCCGGAUUUAUUGGGUUUAAAGGGAGCGUAGGCUGGAGAUUAAGUGUGUUGUGAAAUGUAGACGCUCAACGUCUGAAUUGCAGCGCAUACUGGUUUCCUUGAGUACGCACAACGUUGGCGGAAUUCGUCGUGUAGCGGUGAAAUGCUUAGAUAUGACGAAGAACUCCGAUUGCGAAGGCAGCUGACGGGAGCGCAACUGACGCUUAAGCUCGAAGGUGCGGGUAUCAAACAGGAUUAGAUACCCUGGUAGUCCGCACAGUAAACGAUGGAUGCCCGCUGUUGGUACCUGGUAUCAGCGGCUAAGCGAAAGCAUUAAGCAUCCCACCUGGGGAGUACGCCGGCAACGGUG
This 540-nucleotide ribosomal RNA is filed under the name uncultured bacterium. RNAcentral's name for it is "bacterial SSU rRNA". It matches the Rfam family "Bacterial small subunit ribosomal RNA", at positions 355 to 896 of the family's 1533-position model. The record is from RNAcentral.